This is an RNA transcript of Rhododendron vialii, 3358 nucleotides long. RefSeq lists it as uncharacterized. The record is from RefSeq and is a predicted model, not a curated record. Lineage: Eukaryota; Viridiplantae; Streptophyta; Magnoliopsida; Ericales; Ericaceae. The transcript is spliced from 4 exons.
AAUAUGAACGAUUUAAAUUUUUGAAAUAAUCCUGAAAUAAGUUCAUAUUUGAUUGCUAAUAUAGCAUGACUGUGGUAAGUAUACUUCGCAGGUUGAACGUGAGAAGUCUGAAUUAACUAAACUCGCGCUUUCCGAAGGCGGCUUUACUUCGGCAUAUUCGUCGACCUUCAAAUCAAAGGCUUUAUCAUCACCGCCACACACUGCACCUCGCCGGCGAAUAAGCUCGCUUUUCAUCACCACAAGCUUCUAAUCAAAGGCUUUAGUUUUGUCUGGCAUAUAAACUCGCCGCCAUUGAAGCAUUUCUGUUCCUCUCUCAGCUAUUGGGUGUUUUGUUUAACUUCUGUAGCUGCUAAAGUUAGAGAAUUGUUGUGGGAUGGAGGGUGCAGAGGAUGCGGUAAGGAAUGCGCAGGUGGUAGACGCCAGGCCAGAAACAUCAGUCACAAUGUCCGGUGCACUGAGUGUGGCAGUCAGUCCAUUGAAGAUUCACAAGCAGAUAUUGCCAUUCACCUCAGGAAGGCUUUUCAUCACCACACACUGCACCUUGCCGGCGAAGGGGAAAUCCACGGCACUCACCGCCUAUCAUCUUCUACUCUGGAUUCUUAAUUCUCCAUUUCCAAGCAUUUCCCCAACGAAAUCCAUUGCAAAUUGUUCAAGCUUCUCCACUGUAUAUCCAAUCACUUCACGCGGCCAAACGCAAAUCUCUCUCUCUCUCUCUCUCUCUGAAUAUUGUUCUUAAUUGAGUGUUUCAGGUUUUAGUUUUGGGGAAUUUCCCAGUUGGGUCAUGUUGUUGGAAUAUCAAUAGAGCAUUUCAAUUUCCAAGCAAUUCAACUCUACCUUUUUUAUUGGGUAUUCAUUUUCUAUUCAACUAGUAUUUUUUACCCCUUGCAUCCAAAAUGUAGUUUGUCAUUGCCAGCUCGUGUUGGCUUUUUAGGUCUUGGAAUUGUGGGUUCACCGAUGGUCUUGAAAGGUGUGUUGGUUUGUUCAAUCAAUGGAAGAUAGGAAAAUAAGGAUCCUUCUGGAUGGAUGUAGAUUCCAGACCAAGAGAUUUAACAUAUAAUCUAUAAUUCAAUGAGAGUAUCUCAAAUUUGGAUUUGAUAACUUGGAUUUCGAGACUGAGUUCGUUAGCUUUUAAUAUCAUGGAUUUGGAAUAACAAUUUUGCCAGGCGUGAUUUGAAAUAGGCGGCAGUUAAGGAUUUUGGCUAUAUAAGGAACAUAUUGGCUUGUAGGCUUAUAGCUAACCCUCUCACAUUCAGUACGGUUUGUUUAGGAUUUGAGUAUCUUGAUAAAUUUGGGCACUGAUUACAUCUUAUUUGUGUUCCUUUUAUUUUGGUUAGUCUACGCUUGAAAGGAGAAACUCUUUUACUGCUCCAGCCAACUAAUCUUAAUGCGCUUGCAUAUAAGGCAAAAUUUUGUCUAGCGCUGACUUAAUUUUGCAAGAGUUACACCAUUGACUUCCUUGUUGUGGUUAAUAGCACAGGAGAAAAAGAUAUAGGCUCCUGGGAUGUUGGUCCUGUAUUCUUGUUCUCAAUACUCUAUUCUUGAAACUGUUGGUCAGAUUUACACAACUAAGGCUUGUCUCCUUUUUCGUUGGCUCAAAAUGAUCCAUUUGAAGCCUCUUUCUUUGGCUUGAAUUUCAGUACUGUUUUCUUAGUUCGCUCCAGUCUUUUGCACAAGUAGUUAUGUCCUUUACACGGUUGUUAGGCAUUUUCUGUUUGAUACAGUGGCUCCACUUUUAAAUAUUUCGGGGAAGGUACAUUGUUUUCGUGUAUGUUGUGUUUUGCCAUCUCCUUCCCCUCAGUUCAUCUCACAGAUCAUACAUUUUAACCUGGGUUAGUUGCUCCAUGUAUCCAUACGGCCCACCUAUGUAUAAUCUGAGACUCUCGAACUUUGGAGGAACAGGAGAUACCACAGGCAGCUAGAUAGAUGGUGCUUUUGUUUGUCUUCUUUCUCUAUGUUAUUUAAUGAUCUCCUCUUAUAGCAUCCCCUUUGUAUCACUCCAGUCGAGGUUUUCUUUGGAGACGUGGGGAAUGGAGCUGUAAUGAAACUUGUUGUGAACAUGAUCAUGGGAAGGACUUGUGGCUUGCUCUGGGAUUAGCCAAAUCUGUUUCCCCACCUACACCAAAUGCAGCCGCAGCGAACAAACUAUACAAAGGUGGCUAAAUCUCAUGGCCUUGGUGACGAGGACUUCUUCCAGCAAACAAAUUAUGGGGUUUAAACAUUGCGGCAAAAUAUUUGUUUUUUUCGUUUUGAAAUUGAUUCACAGGUUUCUUCCUGUCAUGACCACUCUUCAUCGAAGACGGAUUCAAGUGGAUGUGAUUUGUCCACGAUGUAAACAAGAGGAGGAAACCAUGGAACACGUGUGCUUUGGGUGUGAAUUUUCAACCAGGAUUUGGCAGCAAACCCAAGUGGAUUCCUCCUCCUUCUCUUCUCGGCAUUGUUUACUUUUGGAUUGGUUUCUAGAAUGGAUGAUGGCAGCAAGGAUGAUGAUGUCAUAAUUACAGUCAGUGAUGUGGGUAAUUUGGAUGCAAUGGAAUCGAGCUUUAUUCGAGGGGUCUUUGACCUUGGUGGACUCGUCUUGCUCUGUUUCAUGAGAUGGAUGAUUCCUUGAGCACAGGUAGGCGGUAUGCAACUCAUGGAAUCCGAAAAUUUCACAAUGGGCAACAUGCCGCGUCUACGCAUACGAAUAUAGAGAGGACCAGUUUUUCUUUACCAAACCAAAUGGAUUUCGGUCAGAUAACCAUGGUCCAUGGAAGGUGUCACAGAGGUGUUGUGAGCUUGGAAUAUAAAGGAUACCAUGACAUGUUGAAUUGUCUACACUAUACAAUGGUUUAGAUUGAUCUUAACCGGAUGAUUAUGUCAUGAUUUUAACGUCAAAGUAGUUGCCAGGCGAUUCCAAAUUACGAUCAUUCUGGUAUUGGAUGAGUGCUAAUGGAGGAGCAGGGGGAAUUAGUGGAGCAACAAGACAGAAGUACCCUCGCUUCUUCUGCCGUUCACGCCGAAUGUCUGGCUUGCUUGGGUGCGAUGAUAUGGUGUUUUGAUCGCCAUUUUCGUCAUAUCACAGUUGCUACUGAUUGCAGUUCGAUGGUGGAUGAAACACCGGAAGAAAAAGAGAAUAUAUUUUUUCUAGUUGGAUCAAUGAAUUGGAUGAAUCAUAUGUGAAACUUAUUUAAAUAUGCUUACUUUUGUUGAUAGAUAUUGUUGGGGUAAUACAAGGUCGUUGGUUGUGGUUUCUUGAAGAUUAUGUUGCGAAGGGCCUUUAGGCACGGCCAUGUAUGAAAGUAACUUGUGUUCACAGUUUUCAAAAUUUUAAUGCGCAUUGAUGAUGUACUCCUUUUAAAAGGCUUGUUUCAAUCUUAAA